GGCCAGGUGGUGGAAUUGGCAGACACGCAGGACUCAAAAUCCUGUGCUCGCAAGAGUGUGAGGGUUCAAAUCCCUCCCUGGCCACAA
RNAcentral lists this transfer RNA (87 nucleotides) under Parcubacteria group bacterium CG1_02_42_13. RNAcentral describes it as "tRNA-Leu". It matches the Rfam family "tRNA". From Rfam's summary of the family: Transfer RNA (tRNA) molecules are approximately 80 nucleotides in length. Their secondary structure includes four short double-helical elements and three loops (D, anti-codon, and T loops). Further hydrogen bonds mediate the characteristic L-shaped molecular structure. tRNAs have two regions of fundamental functional importance: the anti-codon, which is responsible for specific mRNA codon recognition, and the 3' end, to which the tRNAs corresponding amino acid is attached (by aminoacyl-tRNA synthetases). tRNAs cope with the degeneracy of the genetic code in two manners: having more than one tRNA (with a specific anti-codon) for a particular amino acid; and 'wobble' base-pairing, i.e. permitting non-standard base-pairing at the 3rd anti-codon position. The record is from RNAcentral. RNAcentral also lists the same sequence under 1 other name.